CUGAUACCAAUUGUUGGAAAUAAUACUGAGAGGGGGGGUGAAUCAGUAUUAUUAAGUUAUUUUAAUAAAUCUUCUUUAUUUACACUUUGAAUUAUUUUUGCAUGUCAGUGCCAUAAAAUAAUGAGCAUGAAUAAAGAAAAUAGAUAGUCACACCAAAGAACACCAGAUGUAAGGUGGAAACCCAAUGUGGGUGAAAACCACCUGCUGCAAUAUGUCUCUAUCUCCUUUCAAAUUAGAAACUUUUUUUACAAAGGUUUUGUACUGGUGCAGUCCUUUACCAGUACGUAGGCUGCAACCUGCAGAGAGCUACAACUCUCUCUCGUUUUCCAGUCUCUCCUGGAAUGGAGCUACAACCCCCUACUUUUUUUCUUUCAAGGACAACUUUUCAUAAAUUUUCUAACUGGAUCCAUAAACAUCAAAAGAUCAUCAAGUAUAAGAAAAUCACCCAGUCAACUGCAACAACCAGAUCAAUAGUAACAGUAAACUAAACCCAGAGCACCUUAUCAACAGAAAAAAUUCAGCCAACGAAAGGUCUUAAGAUAGAUAUGCAGUUUUUCUUUCUCUGGUCUGCAUGCGAACGCACUUCACUUUCUGCUCCCCUGUGAAUACCUGCAGAGACCCUUCUGUCGUACCACUUUCCCAUGCACUGCUUCUUCAAUCACGCUACGUACUGUUACUGUAAGCACGCACCCACAGAUACUAUCGCGCCACGUACUGCUACUGUAGCUGUGCACCCAAAGAUGCUAUCGUGCCACGUACCUACGCACCUGCGGCUUCUGAAGUGCCGCGUACUUUCCCUGUGCCUAUGCACCUGAACCUCUGUCGCGCUGCGUACCCACACACUACGCCUUCUUCUGCUCUGCGCACCCACGCACUUCUCCUUUUUCUGCUCUGCGCACCCACGCACUUCUCCUUCUUCUGCUCUGCACACCCACGCAUUUGCACCGUUAAUCACCUGCGUACCUCUGAUUAGGGAAAAAAUGGCAGUCCCCCAGUGUGCCACCGAUAGUCAGAUGCUCAGAUCUAAUCAUGCGCUCGAGAGAUCACCCUUCAUAGAUUCGCUUUCAACUUCACUUUUAUAUAGAUCAAGCUUUAAAAAAAUAACCCAAUAUUUCAGAUCUUAAGAUAUUCAAUUUUUGAAAGAUGCAUAGCCAAGUGAUCUCCUUUCCUUUAUAUAGGCAAGCUCUUCCUAAAAUCAUGGAUCAAUACCAUAGAUAACCAAUACAAGGGGUCCAAAAACAUGGGGCUCAAUAAUAAUAAUAUAAAGCAAUACCAAGGGGAAAAACCAUAGAAUCAAUAACGAUGGGCUAAAUACCACGGGCCAAAUAUAAGAAAACCCCACGUGAGCGCACUUCUCUGCCUUGAAGUAAGUGAACUGGGGGUAUGCACCUUCUGAAUAGGUUACCUGCGUGUGCAGCCGCAGUCCCUGCACGACGUACCUGCGGGUACGCACCUUUUGAACUAUUCUCCUGCGUAGGUCUUAAUUUCCAACAUUUUGAGAGCUUGAUCAGUGCAUUGCCACUUGAGGGUGUUGCCAUCAAGUACAACAUCUGUAUCAUAGAGCCAUACCAGAAUCAUAAUGCCAACAGGAUGCUGAGACAAUUUGAUUUCUACCCAUUGCUCUAAAUGUCAAAGUGAAGAAAUUCAACCAAGCACAGGUAAACGACAGGAGUAACUAUGACUCCCUUAAGGUAUCCAAAUGCCUCGUCAUCUAUUUAGUGAUGUGCAUGAAUGCAUUAAUGAGAUUCCCAUUUUCCCUAUCUACUAUCUAGGGAAACCAUAACCAAGGGAAUAGGCUUGGUAGAAUCAACAGGGAUAGAAGAACCUGUUGUGCUUGACUCUAGUCUGACUUUGUGAAAUGACUUGAGAGGUGUAGAAUAUUGGGAGCCAUUUCCAGCACAAGUGAAAUACCACUACUUUUAACGUUAUUUUACUUAUUCCAUUGGGUGGAGAUGGGGUACUGCCCUUGUUUUUGGCCUAAGGCAUGUUUUGCCAGGUCAAUCUAGGUGGAAAACAUUAUCAAGUGGGGGGUUUGGUUGGGGCGACACAUCUGUUAAAAGAUAACACAAGUGUCCUAAGAUGAGCUCAAUGAGAACAUAAAUAUCAUGUGGAACAAAAGGGUAAAAGCUCAUUUGAUUUUGAUUUUCAAUACGAAUACAAAUCAUGAAAGUGUGGCCUAUUGAUCCUUUAGAUUUUUGGAAUUUGAAGUUAGAGGUGUCAGAAAAGUUAAUACAGGAAUAACUAUCUUGUGGCAGCCAAGCAUCCAUAGCGACGUUGCUUUUUGAUCCUUCAAUGUCGACUAUUCCUAUCAUUGUGAAGCAGAAUUCACCAAGUUUUAGAUUUUUCACCCACCAAUAGGUAACAUGAGCUAGGUCUAGACUGUCAUGAGAUAGGUCAAUUUUACCCUACCGAUGAACCGCACUGCAAUAGUAAUUCAACUUAGUAUGAGAGGAACUGUUGAUUCACACAAUUGGUCAUCGUGCUUGGUUGAAAAUCCAGUGGUGCGAAGGUACCAUGUGUCUGAUUAUGACUGAAUGCCUCUAAGUCAGAAUCCAUGCUAGAAGCGGUGCAUGUCACUCUUCGACUGUACCUCAACCUGCAGUAGGGGCAUCACUUUGUCACCCACAGGGUCCCGUGUCAUUUUCAAACAGUGAUCGUGAAGCAUCUCAGUCAGGAUAGUUUUGAAGUUCAAUUCCAAAAGGUCGUUGAGAAGAAAUCUUUGCAAAUGAUGUAAAUACACGAUGAGGUAUUUUUAGUGGGAAAGUGGCCUUACUACCAUGAUCCACUCAGAUUUAGCCCUUGGUUGCCU
This 2809-nucleotide ribosomal RNA is filed under the name Pinus taeda (loblolly pine). Its description in RNAcentral is "eukaryotic LSU rRNA". The stretch from base 1288 to 2809 matches the Rfam family "Eukaryotic large subunit ribosomal RNA", at positions 1890 to 3393 of the family's 3401-position model. Lineage: Eukaryota; Viridiplantae; Streptophyta; Pinopsida; Pinales; Pinaceae. The record is from RNAcentral.